RNAcentral lists this ribosomal RNA (402 nucleotides) under uncultured bacterium. RNAcentral's name for it is "bacterial SSU rRNA". It matches the Rfam family "Bacterial small subunit ribosomal RNA", at positions 355 to 774 of the family's 1533-position model. The record is from RNAcentral.
UGGGGAAUAUUGCACAAUGGGCGAAAGCCUGAUGCAGCAACGCCGCGUGAGUGAUGAAGGCCUUCGGGUUGUAAAGCUCUGUCUUCUGGGACGAUAAUGACGGUACCAGAGGAGGAAGCCACGGCUAACUACGUGCCAGCAGCCGCGGUAAUACGUAGGUGGCAAGCGUUGUCCGGAUUUACUGGGCGUAAAGGAUGCGUAGGCGGAUACUUAAGUCAGAUGUGAAAAUCCCGGGCUUAACUUGGGAACUGCAUUUGAAACUGGGUAUCUAGAGUGCGGGAGAGGAAAGUGGAAUUCCUAGUGUAGCGGUGAAAUGCGUAGAGAUUAGGAAGAACACCAGUGGCGAGGGCGACUUUCUGGACCGUAACUGACGCUGAGGCAUGAAAGCGUGGGGAGCAAACA